UGCCCUAGUAACGGCGAGUGAAGCGGCAACAGCUCAGAUUUGAAAUCUAACUCUUUGAGUUCGAGUUGUAAUCUGUAGAGGAUGCUUUUGAUGCGAUGCCUUCUGAGUUCCCUGGAACGGGACGCCAUAGAGGGUGAGAGCCCCGUACGGUUGGACAUCAAAUCUUUGUAAAGCACCUUCGACGAGUCGAGUAGUUUGGGAAUGCUGCUCAAAGCGGGAGGUAAAUUUCUUCUAAAGCUAAAUAUUGGCCAGAGACCGAUAGCGCACAAGUAGAGUGAUCGAAAGAUGAAAAGCACUUUGAAAAGAGGGUUAAAAAGCACGUGAAAUUGUUGAAAGGGAAGCGUUUAUGACCAGACUUGUUUUUAGCUGAUCAUCUGGUGUUCUCACCAGUGCACUCGGUUAUAUUACAGGCCAGCAUCGGUUUUUUUAGAGGCAUAAAGGUUUUAGGAACGUAGCUCUUUCGGGAGUGUUAUAGCCUAUUACACAAUACCUCUGAGGGGACCGAGGCCCGCGCAUUGCAAGGAUGCUGGCGUAAUGGUCAUCAGCGACCCGUCUUGAAACACGGACCAAGGAGUCAAGCAUUAGGGCGAGUGUUUGGGUGAAAAACCCGCACGCGAAAUGAAAGUGAACGCUGGUGAGAGCUUCGGCGCAUCAUCGACCGAUCCUGAAGUUUUCGGAUGGAUUUGAGUAAGAGCCUUAACGCUUGGACCCGAAAGAUGGUGAACUAUGCUUGUAUAGGGUGAAGCCAGAGGAAACUCUGGUGGAGGCUCGCAGCGGUUCUGACGUGCAAAUCGAUCGUCAAAUAUGAGCAUGGGG
This 816-nucleotide ribosomal RNA is filed under the name Sporidesmiella juncicola. RNAcentral's name for it is "partial large subunit ribosomal RNA". It matches the Rfam family "Eukaryotic large subunit ribosomal RNA", at positions 76 to 922 of the family's 3401-position model. Lineage: Eukaryota; Fungi; Ascomycota; Sordariomycetes; Junewangiaceae. The record is from RNAcentral.